ACGUACGCUGGCGGCACGCCUAACACAUGCAAGUCGAACGAAGUAGCAAUACUUAGUGGCAGACGGGUGAGUAACAUGUAGGUAUCUGCCCUUUGGCCUGGAAUAACACGAGGAAACUUGUGCUAAUACCGGAUAAGUCUUUACGGAGAAAGCUUUAUGCACCAUUGGAUGAGCCUGCACUUGAUUAGUUUGUUGGUGGGGUAAUGGCCUACCAAGACUGUGAUCAAUAGCUGAUUUGAGAGGAUGAUCAGCCACAUUGGGACUGAGACACGGCCCAAACUCCUACGGGAGGCAGCAGUGGGGAAUCUUGCACAAUGGAGGAAACUCUGAUGCAGCGAUGCCGCGUGAGUGAAGAAGGCCCUUGGGUUGUAAAGCUCUUUCGUCGGGGAAGAAAAUGACUGUACCCGAAUAAGAAGGUCCGGCUAACUUCGUGCCAGCAGCCGCGGUAAUACGAAGGGACCUAGCGUAGUUCGGAAUUACUGGGCUUAAAGAGUUCGUAGGUGGUUGAAAAAGUUAGUGGUGAAAUCCCAGAGCUUAACUCUGGAACUGCCAUUAAAACUUUUCAGCUAGAGUAUGAUAGAGGAAAGCAGAAUUUCUAGUGUAGAGGUGAAAUUCGUAGAUAUUAGAAAGAAUACCAAUUGCGAAGGCAGCUUUCUGGAUCAUUACUGACACUGAGGAACGAAAGCAUGGGUAGCGAAGAGGAUUAGAUACCCUCGUAGUCCAUGCCGUAAACGAUGUGUGUUAGACGUUGGAAAUUUAUUUUCAGUGUCGCAGGGAAACCGAUAAACACACCGCCUGGGGAGUACGACCGCAAGGUUAAAACUCAAAUGAAUUGACGGGGACCCGCACAAGUAGUGGAGCAUGUGGUUUAAUUCGAAGAUACGCGCAGAACCUUACCAACACUUGACAUGUUCGUCGCGACUCUAAGAGAUUAGAGUUUUCGGUUCGGCCGGACGAAACACAGGUGCUGCAUGGCUGUCGUCAGCUCGUGUCGUGAGAUGUUGGGUUAAGUCCCGCAACGAGCGCAACCCUCACUUUUAGUUGCCAUCAUUAAGUUGGGCACUCUGAAAGAACUGCCAGUGAUAAGCUGGAGGAAGGUGGGGAUGACGUCAAGUCCUCAUGGCCCUUACGUGUUGGGCUACACACGUGCUACAAUGGUAUCUACAACAGGAAGCAAGACUGCGAAGUUAAGCAAAUCCCUAAAAGAUACCUCAGUUCGGAUUGCACUCUGCAACUCGAGUGCAUGAAGCUGGAAUUACUAGUAAUCGUGGAUCAGCGUGCCACGGUGAAUGCGUUCCCGGGUCUUGUACACACCGCC
Molecule: ribosomal RNA, 1318 nt
Filed under: uncultured Alphaproteobacteria bacterium
Lineage: Bacteria; Pseudomonadati; Pseudomonadota; Alphaproteobacteria
Description: bacterial SSU rRNA
Rfam family: Bacterial small subunit ribosomal RNA
Source: RNAcentral